This 401-nucleotide ribosomal RNA is filed under the name uncultured bacterium. Its description in RNAcentral is "bacterial SSU rRNA". It matches the Rfam family "Bacterial small subunit ribosomal RNA", at positions 356 to 774 of the family's 1533-position model. The record is from RNAcentral.
GGGGAAUCUUGCGCAAUGGGCGAAAGCCUGACGCAGCCAUGCCGCGUGAAUGAUGAAGGUCUUAGGAUUGUAAAAUUCUUUCACCGGGGACGAUAAUGACGGUACCCGGAGAAGAAGCCCCGGCUAACUUCGUGCCAGCAGCCGCGGUAACACGUAGGGGGCGAGCGUUGUCCGGAAUUACUGGGCGUAAAGGGCGCGUAGGCGGCCUAGCAAGUCAGGCGUGAAAUUUUAAGGCUCAACCUUAAGACUGCGUCUGAAACUGUUAGGCUUGAGGGCAGGAGAGGAGAGCGGAAUUCCCAGUGUAGCGGUGAAAUGCGUAGAUAUUGGGAGGAACACCAGUGGCGAAGGCGGCUCUCUGGACUGUACCUGACGCUGAGGCGCGAAAGCGUGGGGAGCAAACA